Molecule: long non-coding RNA, 1953 nt
Organism: Salvia miltiorrhiza (redroot sage)
Lineage: Eukaryota; Viridiplantae; Streptophyta; Magnoliopsida; Lamiales; Lamiaceae
Exons: 5
Source: RefSeq, a predicted model, not a curated record
GGACAUAUAAUAUUUCAAUUUCCCUAAUUAAUUAAAAUCUUUUUGGAGGACGUGCCUAUUUUGAUGGAUUUUCUUCCUCCCUUAACCCAAUUUUACUCAAACACUUCCAAUUUUCCUAUCAUUCAUUCUUCUCUUUCGUGAAUUCACUCAAACUCUUCUCAAUUUCGAUACUCCCAGUUCCGGCAAGGGAUCGUUUCCCCGUCCUUCUCCCUGUAUCAGCCGUCUCACUCUCUCUCUCUCUCUCUCGUUCUCACUUUAUCUUCCAAAUUUUCCUUUUAAUUUUCUGAUUUGGGUUGAAUGCUCACGCACAAGGUCGAGACCUAGCUCUUACUCUCAGAGAGUCGCGCCGCCGCUGCCGAGACAAGUUCCGGUGAACGGUUGCUACUCCCUUCUCCUCCGGCGACUUUGGGCCCACGCUCUUGCCUCUCUGUUUUCUCUCGUUUCAGUAUGUGCCGCCUACUGGUAGUCCCCUCUCUGAUUCACUUUUCUCCAACAACUAAUUCAAGCCCUAGCUUUUUUUUCAUCAGAAAAUUCCACCGCCUUCACUGGGGAUUCCGACGAGCCCUAGUCUCUCCCAAAAGAAAGAUGCUGGCUGCAUAUCUCUUCGCCUGGAUUCGCGAUUUCCAUCCCUAGCCUCCACCCGCCGUCGACUUCUCCCACUGCUGGACGGAGCGGAGCAGCCCGCUAUUGCCAGCGCCGUCUCCUGAAGUUGCGUCGCUAUUUGCCACACACCGGCUCCGACAUCGCAGUCGCUCCACCGCCUCACUUCCAAGGGAGUCACCACCGUUGCCAUGGGCGACAUCCUCCGGUUAAACGCCGUUCCUCUUCCUCCGGUCAUCUGUGGCUGGACGUUGGAGCAGGACAGCGUCACCCAUUUGCGGUUCUCACAAGCUCAAGGGGAGUCUCUCACAAACAGGUAAGCUCUCUAAGUAGAAUGUUAAUCUACAGCCCUUAGCUAAACUCUUCUCGCCCUAAUCGAAGAAUCCUAGAUUUUUAUUGAAGUAGGUGAACAAGGGAAUCAAAAUUCUAAACAAGAUUCAUCUCAUUGCUAUGCAAUUCUAGGGGAGAUCGGGUCAAUUUGGUUAGAGCUGGUAAACACCAGGUUAAUGUCUCCCUUAGAAGAGGACUUCAUGAAGUUGCAUUGAUUUAUUUAUUGUGUCUUCCAAGAAACAUUUUAGAAACGCAGUUUGAUAGCUUAUCUGAACUAGAGGAAUAAGCUGGUAAUGUAGAUUGAAUCUCUUCUUUCAUAAAUUCAUAUCAACUGAUGGGAGAUUUUAUAUAUCAGGUUGUUUUUCUUGUGAAAUGACCAAAUUUACUUGGUCUGCAUAAGUUGCACAGAAGAACCUUAUGAAUCAUUGAAGGGUCAGCUGGAGUUACUGUAUGGUCAGAUGAUACUAAUUCUGCCACUUUUCAUGCCUACUCGUGUCUUUCCCUUGCUUAUGCUACUUGUCAAGCUGUGGCUUCCAUCUUACAAAAUGUUGUUGGCUCAGGAGUCUUAUUUGCACUAUUGAAUCAUUGAUGUGCAAACACAAGGUCAUUAGUCUUGUUAACGCCCAAAAAGCAUCUCUUCAUCCUGAUGAUAUACUGUUGCUCUCAACUUUAUCAUGUCCUCUGAAUCUUUCAGACUCAACGUGAUGAGUUGGAGGCAAAAAAAUUUGAGGAGAGAGCAGCACUUGAAGACAAAUACCAGAAGGCAAAUUUUUUUGAGGAGAAAGCAGCACUUGAAGCCAAAUACCAGAAAUUGUAUCAGCCUCUCGUAGAGUGACAUUAUUUCUCUUAUGUACACGUUGGUUGGUUGAUUUAUUCACUUGUUGGAAUAGAGGAGUGGUUUUGUAUGCGACAUAUUCUUCGUUUCUGGAUGCUUUGUUUUCUCGUUACAUCAACUGUGUACUUGUUUCAGUAUUUUCAUUGUAACCUUUAAUUUAUUUUGAAUGUUAGAAUAAGUGUUCCAUA